ACUUGUAAUCACUGAUCACAGUCACCGUAACAAAUAUAAUAAUAAUGAAAAAGUUUGAAAUAUUACAAGAACUACCAAAAUGUGACCAGACACAAACUCUUCAGCUAAAAGAUAACAUAAGAAGAGGGAGACUGUGCUGGCCAAUCC
This 147-nucleotide long non-coding RNA is filed under the name Mustela putorius furo (domestic ferret). RNAcentral's name for it is "lncRNA (ENSMPUG00000028543.1)". Lineage: Eukaryota; Metazoa; Chordata; Mammalia; Carnivora; Mustelidae. The record is from RNAcentral.